This 3405-nucleotide long non-coding RNA is filed under the name Nicotiana tabacum (common tobacco). RNAcentral's name for it is "long non-coding RNA (NTAB_LNC011822)". The record is from RNAcentral. Lineage: Eukaryota; Viridiplantae; Streptophyta; Magnoliopsida; Solanales; Solanaceae.
CUAAGGUAAGCCUUAAUUCCUUCCUCGUUCCUGCUUCCUUCUCUUGUGCUUAUAUUUCUUUUGGAUAUUCUCUUUCAUUUCAUACUUUAGAAGUAUGUUCUGCACCUCCUUCAUAUAUAUUCCAAAUCCUUUCUUUGUGACAUAUUAUGAAUUGGCAAUCAGGAUGAGAGACAGGAAGCAUGGGAUUUCUUAGCGUUUCUUCUAAGAUAUACAACCAUGACCAGAACAUUGCCGAGCCGGAGUCCCUAACUACGAAGACACCUAAGAAUUUAAUCCAGUACUCUACAGCGUCUCACCAAAAACUGACGAGAAAGAACCUCUAACUACACUCUUCAUAGGUAUGAUGUCUUGGGUUGAUAAUCUGAUAUCUUUACCCCUCAACUUCCAGCUUUUGUGGUUUAAAAUUAAAGUACAUAACUCUACUGUUUAUUGUUUUCAAUAAGAUCGAGCAGUUUCACCAACUUUGAGAGUCUCAAACAUGAAUGUUGAUUGUUGGGACUGUUGUUUGACAAGGAAGUCAGACAACACUUGUUGGCGCCUCUACGUGUUAUGCCGAUCCGAAAUUCCAGUCAUUAGUACUUCUAUUUGUCAUGACACAGUUGAAUCGUCGUGUCAUUGACACCGGUACCUGCUGCUGAAUCAAAGCUUCGUGUCGUUGGCAUCAAUCAAUUAGACAGAACCAAAAGCUUCGUUCCGUUGGCACCGAGGCCUCCAAGAUAUUUUUCCCUUUCGCUGCAGAAUCUGUCCGGGACAGUCAUCUUUAGGCAUCUGUGGAGAAAACCAUCAUAUGUUGUCGUAGGAACAUCGGAAACACAAGCCGUCUGAUCUUCUUGACACUAUACUUCAAAUACCUCAACAUAUCAAAAAUUUGGGGCGAAACUCCUUCCGUAGCUUCUCAGGUAUUAUUUUGCAAUUUCGUUUCAGUUGCUGCCGUGCUCAAAUUUACAGCUUUGCACGCCUUCACCAAAAUAUCCAUAUCUUGGCGUAGCAAUGUUGCAAUCACGAGCGAUUUGUGGCGUCAGAAACUAGACUUCCAGAGCUACAAACUAUAUAAAGAUCACAAUCAGAUCGACCCUAUAUCUUCCCAGAUAUAUUCUAGAAGUUAGGCGACGAGUUUCGACAUGCGAUCUCCUUCAGCUUUGUGCGCUCUCACCGAAGUGAAACAUGUUCCAAAAUAUCUUUUUUUUUUUAACAGGCGAAGAAGUGCGUCAAGACUUCGUAUCUAUUGAGCUAUGGCGUAGACGACUUCUUGCAACUUAGCGCAUGAGCAUCCUCUUCUUAUAGUUGGCCAGAGAUGUACAUGGCAUUCCAAGUCCCAGUUUUCGUGAAGAAGUAGAAGAAGCACUAUCUUCUUGCAAUUUGUCAUAGAAGGCUGGAUGAAGUGUUCCUUCCUUGAGGCUUGGUGAGAAAGAGGCUUGCGGCGACCGUAUUCGAUUCUUGAAGAGCGAGCACAUGGCACCUCUCAUCCUCGCCAAUUGGCGCGGAAGAGGCUUGGAGUUGGAGAGACUGUAUUCUUCUAUGCAAGUGUGCAUGUGGCGCAACUCAUGAUUCGUGCAGAUUGGCGCGGAACAGGCUUGGAGUUGGAGCGACUGUAUUCUUCUUUGCAAGUGAGCAUGUGGCGCAUCUCAUUCUUGCGGCUUGGCGAAAUUGACACUACUUGGAGCAGUCCUUUCCAACCUCGACGAGCAAGUGCUUGGCACAUCUCCGCAAAACUAUUCAUUCUUUGACGUAGGUGCGAUGAAAUCUCGAGCCGCUUGCUUUUGAAGAAUCAAUAUUUGAAAGGCUGCAUCCCAUAAAAUAAAAAAUUCGCGGAUAAAUUCCUUGAGGAUUAGCCGGAGUCGACUUUUGAAGCUGAUAUACAUGUCUGACAUUUCGAGUUUACAACACUGUAUGUUGUUAUUCGGACGCACAUAUCUCAAGCUAAGAACUUCCAAAUCGCUAGCCAUCUGUGCCACUGGAAAGAAGCUUAGAGAUAAGAAAAUUCUCAAAAUAUCAUGGAAGGAUUCCUAGCAGAUUAGCCGCAACAAUUUCCCGAAAUUAACCUAUCUAUCUAUCGAACUUGCUGUUCAGCUUUAUGCGCACUUUUGGAAAAAAUCACAUCUUGAGCUACAAGUGUCGAAAUAGUGAGCCAUCUAUUCUAUUGGAAAGAAAACUCCGAGACUUACAAUAUCUGUAAAUACCACAGCAAAAUUUUUUCAGAACAUCCGCCAUGAUAUUUUGAAGUUGCUACAGACAUUUGCCGCAGUUGAUUUCAAGAUUUGCGCACUCUAGAUAAAGAAACUCAUAUCUUGGGCUAUUAACGUCGAAAUCACGAGCCGUUUAUGCCACUGGAAAGAAGACCUAAAGAUAAGGAAAUCUUAAAAAUAUCACAGACGUAUUCCUUCCAGAUUGGCCGCAACAAUUUCUUGAAAUUGAUUGAGACAUCUGCCUUGCUACUUUUCAGCUUUGCGCGCUCCAGUGAAAAAAUUCAUAUCUCGAUCUAGGAGACUUUAAAUUGCGAUCCAUUUGUACUGUUAGAAAGUACACUCAUAAAUCUGAAAUAUAUAUGAAUUUUGUGGCAGAACCCCAUUUUGGGCUGGAAACAAAAAAUUCUCAAAAGUGCGACCUAGCUGCAGUAAACUUUCAGAUUCGUGUAGUCCCGGCAAAAAAAAUUGUAUCUUGAGCUAGGAGCCUCCAAAUCGCAAACGGUUUGUGUUGUUCGGAAUUGGAUAUCCAAAUAUACAACAUAUAAAAUGUUUGGGGCAAAACAUCUUCCAGAUGGACCGCAGUAAUUUUCCAAAGCUGAUCCCGUCGCCCGUAGAGCUUGCUUUUCAGCUCUAUGCUCUCUGACUUGUCCUACGAAUGUUUUUUUUUUCUUUUUGAAAGUGACUCUACAGUCUUGUGUGUAGUAACUUUAUCUGUGACACUUUACAAAUCUUAUCUCUUCAUUUAUUUAUUUUUUGCAGACUCGCAAAGAAGCUCAAAGGGUCCAGAUGCCAGACUGAGGUAUCAUACAAGAUGCGGAGUCACCCCUUCAACAACCGUUGCACUUGAUUUGUUGAUAGUAUUGAAGUUCAUCAAUGGCAGCUCCCAUAGUGAUUAAAGUUUUUUAAGAGAGACGACUUCUCAUAUAUGGGACCUUCAACCAAUAUUUGCACAAGAGAAGCAAACUAUCGUACUCGAAGGCUAACAACAAGAUAUGUGGUUAAGAGAUUAUCACAACUGCUGAACGCGAGAGAUAUACAUCGAGAAUGACAUCAAAUGUGGAGACGUCAUACAGACUUGGAAAAGCAUUUAAGACGCAUCAACAACAAAGCCUAGUUUAUGAUCAUCUUCAUGAUUUAGGCUUUUGUAUAGAAAAAUGUCUAGAUGUCUAGUUCCUUUGUCUUUGUAUUUUUGGAAAUAUCAACUUUUGUACUAUUGAAG